This 429-nucleotide ribosomal RNA is filed under the name Acidobacteriota bacterium. RNAcentral's name for it is "Acidobacteria bacterium partial 16S ribosomal RNA". It matches the Rfam family "Bacterial small subunit ribosomal RNA", at positions 355 to 776 of the family's 1533-position model. Lineage: Bacteria; Pseudomonadati; Acidobacteriota. The record is from RNAcentral.
UGGGGAAUUUUGGACAAUGGGGGAAACCCUGAUCCAGCCAUCCCGCGUGUGCGAUGAAGGCCUUCGGGUUGUAAAGCACUUUUGGCAGGAAAGAAACGUCAUGGGUUAAUACCCCGUGAAACUGACGGUACCUGCAGAAUAAGCACCGGCUAAGUACGUGCCAGCAGCCGCGGUAAUACGUAGGGUGCAAGCGUUAAUCGGAAUUACUGGGCGUAAAGCGUGCGCAGGCGGUUCGGAAAGAAAGAUGUGAAAUCCCAGAGCUCAACUUUGGAACUGCAUUUUUAACUACCGGGCUAGAGUGUGUCAGAGGGAGGUGGAAUUCCGCGUGUAGCAGUGAAAUGCGUAGAUAUGCGGAGGAACACCGAUGGCGAAGGCAGCCUCCUGGGAUAACACUGACGCUCAUGCACGAAAGCGUGGGGAGCAAACAGG